UUCUGGUCAUUUUGGUGCUCCUAAUGAGUCACAAUUAACUAUCCUAAGCUGUACUAAGUACCUAUUUCAGAGCUGGACCACUAUUUCAAAAAUUCACUACCCAAGUUCCUUAAUUUGACUUAAAAGCUGAAAAAUUAACUUAGCCAUACACUGAAAAAUUCUGCAGAAUCUGGAUUCUCAUCCUAAAACAAUNAAACUUGCAACAUGAACCUAAUCAUACAAUUCAGAAAUGAUCUACUAUCAGCUCACAUCAAACACGGGCUAAUACUAUUAUUUUUACUUCACAUUUUCAUUGUUUCAAGCAAGAACCAUACAAUUUCAUACGAAUUUCACACAUGCAUUUCAGCUACCACCAUCACAAAUAACAAAAAUGAAAUCCAACUUCCCUUACCUCUACACGCACAAUCAAGUUCACAGGAAAGAUCAGUUAGCCCCUUGCAUCGUGAGAAACUUGGAAAUACCUAAAAUUCAUCAAUUGAUGAUAGAGAACAGUUUCUUAGAACCUAAGUUUGAGUGAGGAUUGAGGGAAAACACAGGGAAACUACAUGCAACAAAUCCCAUUGCAUGAUUGUAGCUUCCAAACUUGCAGAGAAGGAGAAAAUGACUUACUGGCGGAGGAAUUGGAAAAUUGAUCGGAUGGAAACAGAGCUUUCUACUUCGUGAUCGCUAGGGCAUUACCAAAACUGGAAUUCUCUGAUUCAGUGAGGAGUGGAUUUAGAGAGAAGACGGAGCUUAUAGGAGUUUAGCUUCUAGAGAGAGAAUGUUCUGUAAGAAUGAACUAGAAUUUGUAUAAAAAGUUUUUAUUUAUUUUUAAAGAAAUAAAAAUAAGAAAGUCAGUUCUUACAUAAAUAGUAAAGAUACAUAAUAAAAAUAAUUUAUAAUUGUGUUUACAUAUUGGAUUGAAUAUGUUUUAAAAGACAAUAACUAUCCG
RNAcentral lists this long non-coding RNA (931 nucleotides) under Vigna radiata. Its description in RNAcentral is "long non-coding RNA (VRAD_LNC001603)". The record is from RNAcentral. Lineage: Eukaryota; Viridiplantae; Streptophyta; Magnoliopsida; Fabales; Fabaceae.